AUCUGUUCCAGCUGCAAGAGGGGAGAAAAGGCUGCUGCUGCUGCUGCUGCUCUGUUGGCGAGGUUGCCCGGUCCACUGAAACAGCUAAAAAAAAAACCAAACCCAGGCGAAGAAGCGGAGUACAGGCCCAGGCUGUCCUACCAUCUGUCUCUGACCAUCAUUGUUCCUGGAGAAUGGGUUCAGGUGAAAGAACUGUCACCUAAAAGUUCCAAUCCUAGUGGUUCCAUCCCUGUCAAGUCCUCCUGAGCACCUCAAUUGCAAUGAGAAGUGGAAGGAAUCAAGGCAGGGCCACGAAAAGUUCCAUCUUCCCCUCUCCAAUGACAAGCCCAGUAGCUGGACGGCCUAACUUUGACCUGCCUUGCCUGUUGAACUGUUUCCAUCUAACUAGGAGGAAAACUUCAGUGGAUUGGACUAACCUGGAAAUCGUGUUUCUGGUAUCUGGACUGUAUAUUGCUACAUUUUUCUUAUGUAACAGUUGUUGCUGCUGUUUCCCCCACACCUUCUUCAGACCAUGGGCCCAAUAAUUAAAGGAACAAAAGGAAGUUGUGUUUAUAACAAGACUACAUAUUCCACUUGCAAACUGGGGGAUAGGGUCACUUGUUAUGCUCCUGUCAAUACAGUAAAGCCCUACCAACAAUUUCGAAUCUGGACAUAUGGCGGGAUGCACAGAUAAUACCUUUUGGAAAGAAUAACACAAGACUUAUGGAUAGUGCCAGCGUCUUCUUUGAUGCAUGUAAAGCUAUUGACUGUAAUCAUGCUAAAUGGACUAAGUGUGGAGCGAUGGGGUGGAAACAGGCCUACUUAUUUCAUGCAAAAUAAGUUUAUACAUUUUACCCAACCUGGCACAAUCAAAGAAAAUUCAAUGUGAUUAAAAGAGCCAGCACUUCCCAGUGCAACGCUGAUUCCUGCAACCUGGUGUGCUUCAAGAUAACCAGACCAGCAGAUUUCUCAGCAUCAUUUGGACUAGCUAUCGAUAGAACCGGACACAAAUAUGGCUUCAAGUUGACACUAUUAUACCACAAUCCCAGAAAUAUUUUAGAAUUUUUCAUUCUUUUUAUGAUCAACUGAAAAUCACAAUUGAGAUCCCCUCAGUAGCAAAGAACCUUUUUAUUGAUCUGGUGGAAGAAAUGCUUCAUCUCUAAAUGUGACUAAUUGUUUUACAUCUGUGUGUGGGUACUAACAUGGGUGAACAAUAGCCUUGGGAAGCAUGUGAAAUAAAUCUUACUCCCCUGACUAGUCAAAAUCUCACUUGAAAAGCCACCAAUAGACCCAAUGUGUGCACUCUGACCACUUCCAUAGUGGGAAACCUCUGUUAUUUUUUUUUUUUUUAAAAAACAACCAAUGUUUUGGUAAAGCCUUAGGUGUGAACAUCUCUUGUAGGUGAGCACCUCAGCAUCCUUUUGGUGGAUUACUACCGAUUUGGCCCAACCCCCAAAUCCCCUGGCAAACAUUCCCCAAUUGUCUACCUUAUGGACCAAUCUAACAGAUGCAAUCCUCACCUUGACCACUCCAGACGAACCUGUUACUUGGGCAGAAGAUGGAAUAUAUGGUUGUAAGACUUUUGUUUAAAAGAAUUAUUAGAUUGCAAACUGUAUUAGAAAUAAUUACAAAUGAAGGGCAUUUAGAAUAACAUGAUGCUUUUUUGCUUUUCUAUACUACGCUUGCGCAGGAACCUCCAUUAGCCCGAAGCAAGAAGCACAUGUUCAGAGAGAUAAAGAAAACGGAUUGGUUAAAAUAACACUACAAAAGAAAGUUUUGUGAAAACAAGGUGGUGUGGCUUUCCUUUUACACGCUGCUGCCUGCUUGUGGAGGAAAUACACCCAGCUUCUUCAGAAACCUGGACAGCUGCCAUGGACACAAGCUGGUUUGGAGAGUUCUUUGGUGAUUGGCAAAUGGAAAUUUUUCUGGUUGUGUUAGCUUUUGGAGGUCUGGUUUUGCCAUGUUUGAUUCCUGUUAUCCAAAGAACAGUUACUUCUACCAUCUCAGGGAUGACGAUCAUAGCAUCCUCUGUAAGUAAUGAUAAACCCCAUAAGCCAGCCAAGCUCCUGACUAUCACCACAAUAACAAAGGAAUAUACAUCAUUGGUCACCAAGUACAGAAAGCAUUCUGUUACAAAAUUAAAAAGGGAUAAAUGAAGGGUUCUGUAACUGGAACAAAAAGAAAUUGUUUAGCCUAACUAUUGCUAUCUCGCUUUUGUAAUCAGUGUUUGCAUCAGGGACAAAUUUCAUGCAAGCAUGAGAAACAUGUACAUGGAUGGGAUGUACUGAAGGAGGGAAUAAGGGAGUGUACAGGAAUGAGUAAUGUCUUCCUUAUGAUGUAAUGGCUCUCUUGUCUGGUUUUCAUUGGCUACUGAAGUUUAUAAACAAUGCUACUAACUUUCUAAGGUGUGGCACUUCUGAACAUAACUCCGCCAGCAUUCCAGAUUGUUUGCCACCCAGAUGUUUUGAUCAAUUAAAGCACAGUUUCCUUAAGAAGCCUCCUUUUGAGUUGCCUGAUUAGACUUUUAAUGGUAUCUCAAAUUUAAGUAAGGGCCAGGGACCUUAUAGUAAUUAGCCAUUUCUAUAACAACAAAUCUAUCUAAUCGGCAAAACCAAACUCGAAGUUUUAUUUUUUUUUCAUCACAAGCACAAAAUCCAGAAGUGAUAUCCAAAUAAAAAACAUAAUUAAAUAAAUUCUCCUCUUUGAAUAAAACAAUCAAUUUAAUCAUUUCUGCUUUAUCUUUCUUGCUGUGGAAAUAAUGGGUAUUUCUAUUUGCACUUAAUAAUCUUUAUAAAGUAUCACUAUUUAAAAUAAGAAUUCACUGUAUUCUUUCAGAUUCUUUAAAGGGAAAAAUAUUUUUUCAUCCAUUUUAAAACACUAAACUUUUCUUUAAAAAUAUUUCUGAAAUCAAAACUUUCUAAUACAUCUUUUUUUAACUUCCUCUUAACAUGCAUACUUUAAAGUUCACUAUUAAAUUUAGGUCACUCCCUCCAAGUUACCCUCAUAGAAUAAUUUUUCUUCUUGUAUACAUCCUUUCUAAAAAUUUCAACUUUCCUUUAAACUAAUACAACUUUCUCUUUAAUUUUCUCUUAACACAAAUACUCUCAAGUACACUUUCAAUAAUAUUUUACAAACUUUAGGAAUUAAGCAUUAUAUAUAAAGGAAAAAUACAUUUUCAAACUUUAGAUUAAGACUUUCUUUCAGUUACAAAUAUCAAACUGAUAAAAAUCCAUCCUAAUUCCAAAUUGAUUCAUUAAGUUUAAGUCACUCCUUCUAACUUGACUUUAUGGAGUAAAGUCUUUUUCUUCUCUCGAAUUUUUGUCAAGUAGUUAUAAGCGGUGGUGGGAUUUAGCCAGUUUGCACUGGUUCGAGUCAAUGAGUAACUUUUUUGUAAAUCACUUAAGAAUUGCUGGCUAAUCAGGAAUCAUAAAAAUCAGAAAGUUUUAGUCACCCACAACAAAGUAGACCAAACUACAAAUUACUAAAAAUAAUAAACUUUCUACCCUUACAUUUCUCCGUCAACUUUUUUUUUUAAAGAUACUCCACACUUCCUUAUAUUUGGCUUGCCUUAGCAGCCUUCUUCCUUGUUGUUUAACACUGAAUAAACCCCUAAAAUGGUGCAGAUCUUCAAAAAGGAGUAACAGGCUGUGACUAAAGAGAGCUUCUUUUAGCCUAAUAAAGAUUCGGCACACAGGCUGCUUCGAAGCACAGCUCCUGAAGCUACUUUCAGACCUUUACUGUAUCGGAAGAUCUUGAGGGAUAAUUCUAGGACUUUCCCUAACUCAGGAGAGUCAUAUAAACUAAAGGAAUGUCGGUUCCUUCUGUUGGUAGUUGAAAAAAACUACUGCCCGAGAAAAAAUUCUUCAGGGAUCCCUCCCUGCCUUGUAGUCAGUUGGUCAUCUUUUCACCGGAAGUCCUUUGCAUUUACUUUUCUAACAGUAGCAAGGCAGCCAAAUAGAAAAAGAUGUUCAGAUAAAUGUUCAUAGUGAAUGCAAACCAAAGUAUUUUAUAUAUUGCCCAGUAAUAAAUUAUUGGUUUUGCUAAUAGUCUAUGUACAGUGAGCUAUCAUGUAGCUGUGCAAAAUGGCCAACUUCUAUGUAUUUCACGCCAUUAAUUGCUACACAUAAGCUAAUAAUACUAUGCUGCCAUCUUGUGUUUCCAAUGGCUAGGUCUCCUUCAAGCUGACCUUGACUCCUGGUAUAACUUUCUUGGCAAUUAUACCAAAGUUAGAUACCACGGAAUAAUAGGAAGUUUCUUAGCAAGAAGCUGAAGUUCUUCCAAAGUAAUUUAAGGUUUCACUGGUUAUUCAACAAUAACUUGUUGAAGCAUUGACUUAUUAGGCUUUAUUGCAACUUUUGUAUCCAACUUUUCUAUUGUUUCUAAGCAUGAAUGAACCACAAAUAACACAACUGUAUACUAUGCAAAUUCACCUCAUAGAUUUACUCAAGGGUAAGCAAAUUGUAUGAGAACAAACACUAUGUUUUAUAAUUUCAUUUUUUUUUUUUUUUGAGAAUCAGGAAAGAAAAUACAUCUCAUUCUGCAAUACAGGUAGUCCUUGGGUUACAACCAAUCAUUCAAAGUUAUGAUGACACUGAAUGAGUGGUAGUUAUGACUGAUCCUCAAAGUUCCAGCUGUCACAGCACCCAAGUGGUCACAUGAUUGCAAUCUAGGUGCUUGGCAAUCAGCUCAUACUUAUGAUUGUUGCACUGGCCUGCAGUCAUGACUGCAAUUUUUAGCUUCCCCACCAGCUUCCGAUUAGUAAAGUCAAUGGGAAAACAGCAGAGGUCACAAAUUGCUCUGAUAAGUCUCCUCCACCCAUGCACCUCACCUAGCCCCUCGGCACUCAUACCACAUCAGCCACCUAUAUACCUUCCCAAACUGCUCGCACUGCACCUCCCUGGAUAUCUGCACAUUUCCAACUGGCAGCCGCUCCCUUGCACAUUCUCCUUCCUCAUUAAUUGUGCAUACUCCAAGCCACAUAAUACUCAUGCCAUACCUCCUCAGCCACUCAUUUACCUUCUCCCACUUGGCAAUAUCCACCCCAAGUCCUGUUGAGCUAACAUACUGUUCCUGAGCUUCAGUGUGCUCCUUCCACAGGCAGCAGCAUCCUCGUACACCCUCCCCAAGCCUUGUACUUGUGCCAUGCCUCCCUCACUUAAUGAUGGCACACCAGGAAUUGCAGGAAUUUCUCUCUAAGAAAUGCAGUUUUGUUUACGACUGUGUCACUUAGUGAUGAAAAUUCUGGUCCUAUUUGCUGUCAUAACUCAAGGACUACCUGUAUAUUAACAGUACCAAUUUUAAUAAAAUUGUAAGCUGUAUGUGUGUGUGUAAUACUUGCAUAUAUAGUACCUAAACACAUUCCCAGAACAAAUUUCCUAUUUUAUUUGACAGAAUGGUAUCUUCUCUAAUACGCUUUAUUACCUACAAUUUUAUCAAUAUUCAGAUUUUAAAGCAAUUCUUUCACAAAAAUGAUUUAUCAAGAAAGUUCAAUUUCCAUUUGCCUAAAUGCUACAGUAUUAUUCUGUAUAAUAGCAACCUUUAAUGGAGACUACUACCAGAAUUAUAAUCAAAACAUCGAGAAACAGAUACGACCGUACUUUUUGUAACUGCAAGGCUUAUACAUUUAAAAACUAAUUUAUAAAACAUUUAAUGGGAUUAAAUGUUAAAUUGCUUUAAAUAUAAUUGUAGUUCUUCAAGUGUUCAUCUCUGAAUGCAAUCUAUGCAUUCUUAUUCGAUUCUUCCAUAUCUGUGGCAUAUUUUUAAGCAGGAAAUGCUUUUGUCCAAUGUGUGCAUGAUCCUGGGGAUAGUUCCUACCUUUCCUCUUAAUUUCUAACCAAGCCAAGGAGAAAUGUUUAGAUUGCUAUUAAACUGGAUGCCUAAAGUGAAAAAAAUGAGAGGAUUUUAUGAAUGCAGAUGCCCAAAGAGGUAAAGUUGCAUGAAAAAAUAAGAUUUUAUAUUUUGUUUUGCAUUCUCUCUGCCUCCAAUAUAUAGUGGAAUAGCAAAUGUACCUCAUGGUAGGAGCAGAUGGCAGAAGAAUCCAAAAAGAACUGUUCAGCUAAAGAAGGCAUUCAAACAAGCUUGAGCACUGAAAUCAUGAUAUCUAGAAAAGGUUGAAUGUUGAGAUCGUGUGAAGGCCCUACUUAGAGUGUUACUUUUAUGAACAUUGUGAAUAAAGCAUUUCUAACAGGAAAUUUAUAGAAAAUAUAGUUAUAUAAUCUAUAGAGUUGCCCACAGCCCAACAGCUAUCUACUGCAAUAUAAGAACUUUUUAAGAUCAUAGCUGUUUGUAGAAAAAAGAUUAAGAGAAUAAGAAACUGGCUCAAAUGGACUCCAACACAUUUUAUGCAGAAGGCAAAUUAGGUUUUCUGUCAGUAUGACUCUAAGGGGCAUCUGUCUAUAUACAGGUAGUCUUCAACUUACAACAGACCUCCCCAAAGCUACUUAUGAUUCAUUUUCAAAGUAACAACAGCCAUGCAUAUGCCACCAUGGUCACAUGAUCACAUUUCAGGUACUUGGCAACCAGCACAUAUUUAUCACUGUUUGCAGCAUCUCACGGUCAUGUGACUGCAAUAUGUAUUUUUUUUUUUUUUGCUGUUUUCUAGCAUUUACUUCAAGAAUACCCAUUGGGGGAACAAUCUACCUGCUGCUACACAUUCUGACUGCAACUAGGCUUGCUUUUGUGCAAAAAUGGAAGAGCAAGGAAAUUCCCACAGAGGAAGAGUUAAUACAUAAAAUAUUAGCAUGUGCAGAAAUGGACAGGUUCACAAUGAUAUUAAAAGACAAAUGUGGAUCAGUUUAUUAUGAA
Crotalus tigris (Tiger rattlesnake) is the source of this 6783-nucleotide RNA transcript. It is a transcript of the gene named retinoic acid induced 2, with no coding region annotated. The transcript is spliced from 2 exons. NCBI's taxonomy places the organism in Eukaryota, Metazoa, Chordata, Lepidosauria, Squamata, Viperidae. The record is from RefSeq and is a predicted model, not a curated record.